AUGAUGCUCCCUCCGUUCGGAAUUACUUAUCGCAAAAAUAAAUAAAGAUGAAUGUAUUUAGAACUAAAAUAUGUCUAAAUACAUUCAUUUUUCUGACAAGUAUUUUCAAACGGAGGGAGUACAUG
This is a non-coding RNA of Triticum aestivum (bread wheat), 125 nucleotides long. NCBI's taxonomy places the organism in Eukaryota, Viridiplantae, Streptophyta, Magnoliopsida, Poales, Poaceae. The record is from Rfam.